UACGGAGGGUGCAAGCGUUACUCGGAAUCACUGGGCGUAAAGAGCGCGUAGGCGGGAUAGCAAGUCAGAUGUGAAAUCCUAUGGCUUAACCAUAGAACUGCAUUUGAAACUGUUAUUCUAGAGUGUGGGAGAGGUAAGUGGAAUUCCUAGUGUAGCGGUAGAAUGCGUAGAGAUUAGGAGGAACAUCAGAGGCGAAGGCGGCUUACUGGACCAUAACUGACGCUGAGGCUCGAAAGCGUGGGGAGCAAACAGG
This 253-nucleotide ribosomal RNA is filed under the name uncultured Helicobacteraceae bacterium. Its description in RNAcentral is "partial 16S ribosomal RNA". It matches the Rfam family "Bacterial small subunit ribosomal RNA", at positions 524 to 776 of the family's 1533-position model. The record is from RNAcentral. Lineage: Bacteria; Pseudomonadati; Campylobacterota; Epsilonproteobacteria; Campylobacterales; Helicobacteraceae.